CUUCCAUACAGUUCAUCCAACUGCUCGAUGUUGAAAACAAAACUCUAUGCCAAUUUCUUGCAUCGACUCUCGGCCAAGGAGCUAGUUGUAUUAUACAUGAUGCGAGUAUGAAUCUGAUUCAGGAAUUUCUACACGUGUUUCUCGUGUCGUAUUCGACAAACUAUUAUGUUGUGGGAUAUUCCAAUGAUCAGUGGGGAAUACGAUUCAAAUUUCCUUUAUCGUUGCCAAACAUCAGUCGAGGCGAUGAUAAACACGGUGACCACUCGACGUUGUUAGAUUCCUCAACCACCGGAAGCUUGCCUGUUCACCUGAAGGGUUUAUCUUUUACCCGGAAUACUGGCAGUAACCUUUUCGCUUGGGGAAACGUCCUCUU
Molecule: long non-coding RNA, 373 nt
Organism: Dendronephthya gigantea
Lineage: Eukaryota; Metazoa; Cnidaria; Anthozoa; Malacalcyonacea; Nephtheidae
Exons: 4
Source: RefSeq, a predicted model, not a curated record